CUUCACCGAACCCAGCCACAACGGCCGCUCCUCCGGCCGCUCCUGUCCAUAGGUCGCGAGCAGCGCCUGCGCCUC
This is a non-coding RNA of Streptomyces cellostaticus, 75 nucleotides long. It matches the Rfam family "ASpks TB sRNA". NCBI's taxonomy places the organism in Bacteria, Bacillati, Actinomycetota, Actinomycetes, Kitasatosporales, Streptomycetaceae. The record is from Rfam.